CUUUUCUUUUUUCCCUAUUCUCCUCCUAGUUCCUGACCAGGCAAGAUCUUGCGCUAGGUUCCUUGUUCCAUGCUAGCGGCGGCGCUUUCCUCUGCUUGCGUCAUCACGCAUCCCAGCCGUCGAGCACCAGACGGUGGCCCUCUCAGCGCCAGACGACGCCCUCGCAACUCAGGUGGCAGCAACCUUAUGUGCGGUUGCGCUGCUCUUCCCUGCCCGUGUCAGCGCGUCCCUGUUCGCAACAGCGCUCCCUUCCUAGGUCCUGGUAGCGCCCGACGACGGAGGCUAUCCUCCUGGUCGACAACCCUCCCCAACCCGCGGGCAGUACCUACAAGGAAAACAAUACGUAGAUUGUCUGUUCGUGUGUUCGAUUUUCUUUUUGGACGCAAAUUCUUGUGCGUACAUGCUUCAAAUUCCGCGAGUCAAAAAUAUCUUUGUAGUCUAUCGUACUCGAAUUUGUGUCACAUCUGUUCUUCUAGUUUACUUGUUGAUAUCUGUCUUUUUAUAAAUUACUAGUAGUCUAUCACUUUGUUUUCUAGUUUCAUCUUCGUUGUCCAGUAGUUGAAGAGCUAGCGUAAUGUAGAUCCUACUACUGGUAUGUGAAACAAUUCCAUCAUAGUCAAAUGAGUCAAAAACAAUUCCGUGUGAUAAUUUGCAAUGUGAAACAUAUAUUGCAGUUAUAACCCAAAAAAUGGAAUGUGGCCUAUAAUAAAAAAUAUUUUAGUUUCUAGUAUCUCGAACUGUAAGCUAGAGCUAAGCAAUUGCCAGGAAUGAAAAUGAGUUGAGACUUGUUCUCACCUUGAACUUGUUCCAGCACCAACAUAAAGUAUGGCUGAGAAGGUUGUUUGGGAUAAUGCGACUUUGAAGCACCUGAUUGACAUUUGUAAGGUGGAGAUUUUAGCUGGUAAUAGACAUCAAGGUUGUUUCACUAGAAAUGGUUGGAAGAAUCUAGAGGAGUUUUUUUGCAGGGUCCGGAAUGAAGCUAGUGAAGACACAAUUGAAAAAUAAAUUAGAUAAUAUGGAAAAAGAUUAUACCCAGUUCAUGGAAUUGAAGAAUGCUGCCACUGGAUUAAGAUGGAAUGAAGCAAAUCAAACUGUUGAUUGCGAUAAUACAUGGUGGGAUGAACAUCUUAAGAGAUGCAACAUUUAGCUAUGAACAUGAUAAGUUGAAAGAAGAUCAUUUCUGGCCUUAUUUCAAAGAAUUUACUUGCGAUAUGUGACUUUGGCAUGAGGUUUACGUUUGUGGUUGCUGGAUGGACGGGUUCUGCACAUGACACACGGAUCCUUAGUCAUACAUUGGCAACAUUUUCUUCUUUUCCCGUCCCUCUUAAAGAUAAGUACUACCUUGUGGACUCCGGAUAUCCAAACCGAACUGGAUACCUUGCACCUUUCAAGGGAACUACGUACCAUAUACCGGAAUUUCGCCAUCGCCGUGGAUGUCCACCGCAAGGGAAGGAUGAGACAUUCAACUUCUUGCACUACUCUCUCUGCAAUGUCAUUGAGCGAGCAUUUAGGGUCCUCAAGCAAAAAAUGACACAUAUUGAAAAACAUGCCGAAUUUCUCAGUUGAACGACAGAAAGAGAUCAUUAUAGCAUUGUCGGUGUUUGG
Zea mays is the source of this 1605-nucleotide RNA transcript. It is a transcript of the gene named ALP1 pseudogene, with no coding region annotated. The record is from RefSeq and is marked validated. The transcript has 4 exons. NCBI's taxonomy places the organism in Eukaryota, Viridiplantae, Streptophyta, Magnoliopsida, Poales, Poaceae.